UUUGCCAGGAGCGCCUUUAAGGAGAGAAGUGAUGGGGAUGAAGUUAAAGUGAAUUGCAUCCGGCAUGAAUGGAACUGUUAGAAGCCACUCGGAAUGGCUACUGGCUGAUGGAUCACCUCCCCUUUUGAAACAUAUGACGAUGAGAAGCUAUUGAAGGCAAUAGGUUGUGAACUGAAGACAUUGAAAGCCUGCGGUGCCUACAGUUGAAGAAAGUCAUGAAUUUUUUAGUGCAAACAACAUUUUGAUUAGAUUAAAGUCUGACGUGGAAAAAAAAAAGAGCAAUAAAUAAACGAGAUAGCAAUUAAUAAAGUCCGGUCAGUGCAAAAUAUUAGAACCUUGUCUUUAGUUUUGGGAUGUUGCGGGGAGAAAUUGCAUGCCCCUGUAAACAGCUGAUCUCCAAGCUCAUCCAAGUGUUGUUUGAGCUCUGAUGGCCCCAAGCCGGAAGAUUUAUCUUGCUUAACGAGCACCAUAUCUUGGCCGCCAAUGCUCAAUCCCACAAUCACAUGGGUCCCAUAUUUCUCAAUGAAUCUGUCAAACACAUUCAC
Juglans microcarpa x Juglans regia is the source of this 545-nucleotide long non-coding RNA. RefSeq lists it as uncharacterized. The record is from RefSeq and is a predicted model, not a curated record. The transcript is spliced from 2 exons. NCBI's taxonomy places the organism in Eukaryota, Viridiplantae, Streptophyta, Magnoliopsida, Fagales, Juglandaceae.